AACGAACGCUGGCGGCGCGUCUUAAACAUGCAAGUCGAACGAGAAUCCCAGUGCUUGCAUUGGGAGGAAAGUGGCGAACGGGUGAGUAACACGUGGAUAAUCUACCUCCGGGUUGGGGAUAACUGCUGGAAACGGCGGCUAAUACCGAAUGACAUGGCUGUUACAUAAGUAAUGGCCAUCAAAGGUGGGGACCGCAAGGCCUACCACCUGGAGAUGAGUCCGCGGCCCAUUAGCUAGUUGGUGCGGUAACGGCCCACCAAGGCAACGAUGGGUAGCCGGCCUGAGAGGGUGUACGGCCACAUUGGGACUGAGAUACGGCCCAGACUCCUACGGGAGGCAG
This 340-nucleotide ribosomal RNA is filed under the name uncultured Spirochaetota bacterium. RNAcentral describes it as "bacterial SSU rRNA". It matches the Rfam family "Bacterial small subunit ribosomal RNA", at positions 29 to 351 of the family's 1533-position model. The record is from RNAcentral. Lineage: Bacteria; Pseudomonadati; Spirochaetota.